GGCAACGUGGCCGAGCGGUUAAGGCGUAAGACUCGAAUUCGGGGUUCAUUCCGCGAUAGUAAUCUUAUCUCUUCGGAGUCGCAUGUUCGAAUCAUGCCGUUGUCG
Aspergillus taichungensis is the source of this 105-nucleotide non-coding RNA. NCBI's taxonomy places the organism in Eukaryota, Fungi, Ascomycota, Eurotiomycetes, Eurotiales, Aspergillaceae. The record is from the annotation of a GenBank genome assembly.